GACGAACGCUGGCGGCGUGCUUAACACAUGCAAGUCGAGCGGUAAGGCCCUUUCGGGGGUACACGAGCGGCGAACGGGUGAGUAACACGUGGGUGACCUGCCUUUAGCUCUGGGAUAAGCCUGGGAAACCGGGUCUAAUACCGGAUAUGACUCCGCGGCGCAUGUUGUGGGGUGGAAAGCCUUGUGCGGCUGGAGAUGGGCCCGCGGCCUAUCAGCUUGUUGGUGGGGUGAUGGCCUACCAAGGCGACGACGGGUAGCCGGCCUGAGAGGGCGACCGGCCACACUGGGACUGAGACACGGCCCAGACUCCUACGGGAGGCAGCAGUGGGGAAUCUUGCGCAAUGGGCGAAAGCCUGACGCAGCGACGCCGCGUGAGGGAUGACGGCCUUGG
This 391-nucleotide ribosomal RNA is filed under the name uncultured bacterium. Its description in RNAcentral is "bacterial SSU rRNA". It matches the Rfam family "Bacterial small subunit ribosomal RNA", at positions 28 to 420 of the family's 1533-position model. The record is from RNAcentral.